UACGUAGGGGGCGAGCGUUGUCCGGAUUUAUUGGGCGUAAAGAGCGUGUAGGCGGCCAGGUAGGUCUGCUGUGAAACCUCGAGGCUCAACCUCGAGACGUCGGCGGAAACCAUCUGGCUAGAGUCCGGAAGAGGAGAGUGGAAUUCCUGGUGUAGCGGUGAAAUGCGCAGAUAUCAGGAAGAACACCCGUGGCGAAGGCGGCUCUCUGGGACGGUACUGACGCUGAGACGCGAAAGCGUGGGGAGCGAACAGG
This 253-nucleotide ribosomal RNA is filed under the name uncultured bacterium. RNAcentral's name for it is "partial 16S ribosomal RNA". It matches the Rfam family "Bacterial small subunit ribosomal RNA", at positions 524 to 776 of the family's 1533-position model. The record is from RNAcentral.